Molecule: ribosomal RNA, 507 nt
Filed under: uncultured Glomeromycotina
Lineage: Eukaryota; Fungi; Glomeromycota
Description: partial small subunit ribosomal RNA
Rfam family: Eukaryotic small subunit ribosomal RNA
Source: RNAcentral
CCAAUAGCGUAUAUUAAAGUUGUUGCAGUUAAAGAGCUCGUAGUUGAAUUUCGGGAUUGACACAUCGGUCGUGCCUUAAGGGGUGUGAACUGGUGUAGUCAAUUUCUCACCUUCUGGAGAACCGCGAUGUCCUUAAUUGGGUGCCGCGAGGAACCAGGACCUUUACUUUGAAAAAAUUAGAGUGUUUAAAGCAGGCAUUUUUGCUUGAAUACAUUAGCAUGGAAUAAUAAAAUAGGACGGCAUGAUUCUAUUUUGUUGGUUUCUAGGAUCACCGUAAUGAUUAAUAGGGAUAGUUGGGGGCAUUAGUAUUCAAUUGUCAGAGGUGAAAUUCUUGGAUUUAUUGAAGACUAACUACUGCGAAAGCAUUUGCCAAGGAUGUUUUCAUUAAUCAAGAACGAAAGUUAGGGGAUCGAAGACGAUCAGAUACCGUCGUAGUCUUAACCAUAAACUAUGCCGACUAGGAAUCAGACGAUGUUAAUUUUUUAAUGACUCGUUUGGCACCUUACG